This 89-nucleotide transfer RNA is filed under the name Desulfovibrio sp. RNAcentral describes it as "tRNA-OTHER". It matches the Rfam family "tRNA". Rfam says of the family: Transfer RNA (tRNA) molecules are approximately 80 nucleotides in length. Their secondary structure includes four short double-helical elements and three loops (D, anti-codon, and T loops). Further hydrogen bonds mediate the characteristic L-shaped molecular structure. tRNAs have two regions of fundamental functional importance: the anti-codon, which is responsible for specific mRNA codon recognition, and the 3' end, to which the tRNAs corresponding amino acid is attached (by aminoacyl-tRNA synthetases). tRNAs cope with the degeneracy of the genetic code in two manners: having more than one tRNA (with a specific anti-codon) for a particular amino acid; and 'wobble' base-pairing, i.e. permitting non-standard base-pairing at the 3rd anti-codon position. The record is from RNAcentral. Lineage: Bacteria; Pseudomonadati; Thermodesulfobacteriota; Desulfovibrionia; Desulfovibrionales; Desulfovibrionaceae.
GCGGCCGUGCCCCGAGGCGGUAAGGGGCACACGGCUGCUCCCCAUUCGAGCGGCCGGGUGGAAUGCGGGUUCGAUUCCCGCUGGCCGCU